AUACAGAGGGUGCGAGCGUUAAUCGGAAUUACUGGGCGUAAAGCGCGCGUAGGCGGCUUGGUCAGUCGGAUGUGAAAGCCCCGGGCUUAACCUGGGAAUUGCAUUCGAUACUGCCAGGCUAGAAUGUAGUAGAGGGUAGUGGAAUUCCGGGUGUAGCGGUGAAAUGCGUAGAUAUCCGGAGGAACAUCAGUGGCGAAGGCGACUACCUGGACUAAUUCUGACACUGAGGUGCGAAAGCGUGGGGAGCAAACAGGAUUAGAUACCCCAGUAGUCC
Molecule: ribosomal RNA, 274 nt
Filed under: uncultured bacterium
Lineage: Bacteria
Description: partial 16S ribosomal RNA
Rfam family: Bacterial small subunit ribosomal RNA
Source: RNAcentral